This 501-nucleotide ribosomal RNA is filed under the name uncultured bacterium. RNAcentral's name for it is "partial 16S ribosomal RNA". It matches the Rfam family "Bacterial small subunit ribosomal RNA", at positions 29 to 523 of the family's 1533-position model. The record is from RNAcentral.
AUUGAACGCUGGCGGCAUGCCUUACACAUGCAAGUCGAACGGCAGCACGGGUGCUUGCACCUGGUGGCGAGUGGCGAACGGGUGAGUAAUACAUCGGAACGUACCUUAUCGUGGGGGAUAACGCAGCGAAAGCUGUGCUAAUACCGCAUACGCCCUGAGGGGGAAAGCGGGGGAUCGCAAGACCUCGCGCGAUUAGAGCGGCCGAUGCCUGAUUAGCUAGUUGGGGGGGUAAAAGCCCACCAAGGCGACGAUCAGUAGCUGGUCUGAGAGGACGAUCAGCCACACUGGGACUGAGACACGGCCCAGACCCCUACGGGAGGCAGCAGUGGGGAAUUUUGGACAAUGGGGGCAACCCUGAUCCAGCAAUGCCGCGUGAGUGAAGAAGGCCUUCGGGUUGUAAAGCUCUUUUGUCAGGGAAGAAACACCGGCUCUAACACAGUCCGGGAAUGACGGUACCUGAAGAAUAAGCACCGGCUAACUACGUGCCAGCCGCCGCCGUAA